This 449-nucleotide ribosomal RNA is filed under the name uncultured bacterium. RNAcentral describes it as "partial 16S ribosomal RNA". It matches the Rfam family "Bacterial small subunit ribosomal RNA", at positions 29 to 523 of the family's 1533-position model. The record is from RNAcentral.
AACGAACGCUGGCGGCAGGCCUAACACAUGCAAGUCGAACGAAGCCUUCGGGCUUAGUGGCGGACGGGUGAGUAACGCGUGGGAACGUGCCCUUUGGUUCGGAAUAGCCCCGGGAAACUGGGAGUAAUACCGGAUGAGCCCUUCGGGGGAAAGAUUUAUCGCCAAAGGAUCGGCCCGCGUUGGAUUAGGUAGUUGGUGGGGUAAUGGCCUACCAAGCCGACGAUCCAUAGCUGGUUUGAGAGGAUGAUCAGCCACACUGGGACUGAGACACGGCCCAGACUCCUACGGGAGGCAGCAGUGGGGAAUCUUAGACAAUGGGGGAAGCCCUGAUCUAGCCAUGCCGCGUGAUCGAUGAAGGCCUUAGGGUUGUAAAGAUCUUUCAGUGGGGAAGAUAAUGACGGUACCCACAGAAGAAGCCCCGGCUAACUCCGUGCCAGCCGCCGCCGUAA